Molecule: long non-coding RNA, 818 nt
Organism: Hippoglossus stenolepis (Pacific halibut)
Lineage: Eukaryota; Metazoa; Chordata; Actinopteri; Pleuronectiformes; Pleuronectidae
Exons: 2
Source: RefSeq, a predicted model, not a curated record
UUCUACUCGUCCUCCGCGAGUCCCGCCGCUCCGACGCCGAGAUGGGGGGGGGGGCAAACUGCAGCCGCGACCCCGACGCUGCAACACGAACCGGCCGCUAAAUAUAACCCGAGUUGCUGCGCGUCCGCCGCCGAACUGCCAAUAUUUUCCAGCGCCUUCCCUGUGGGAUCCUGAGGCCUAACCAGGCUGAGAAUUCAAAUCUCUCCAGCAUGUUCUGGGUCUACCCUGGGGCCUCCUGCCAGUUGGAUGUGCCCUGAAAACCCUCAAAUGGAAGGCACCUGAGAGGCGUCCUAAUCACAAGUGACUCCGCUUCAAGCUCCCUGCGGAUUGUGGCCAAUGUCUCAACCCCUUAUUAAUUGCAUCUCAAGGGAACUGGUCAGUUUCUGGAUGCUUUGGGAAAUUCUGGAACUGCCCAACAACACAUUUGUUUGCCUCCGGGCCCCCCCCCCCCACACAAAGGUUAACUCAGCCAUGUUUGAUUGUGCACUAAUCUGUCAGGGUUACUGCACAGUCAAAUGGGUAAUUAAUCUUGAUAGAAAUUACGAUUCGACUUCUCAUAGUGUUGAAAUAAUAAGCACAACACUGGAAGACAACACAAGGACCAGAGGAGGAAUCAGAGGAAGAGAUGGAUGUGGAUCUAUUGUUGCUUCGGUGUCACGAUAACGAUGCAGAACCAGAUCCAUCAGCUCUAGAUGCAGCAUGUGAGAAAACCGAGGCUGGUAAUAGAAAAGCUUCAAUAGAGGCACCGAGCCAAUUACAACUUUAUUCUCGUAAUAUUACAAUUUAUGAGAAUAAAACAUUUAGUUUUCUUUAAUGUG